This 73-nucleotide transfer RNA is filed under the name Monodelphis domestica (gray short-tailed opossum). RNAcentral's name for it is "tRNA-Ile (TAT) (tRNA-Ile-TAT-4-1)". It matches the Rfam family "tRNA". Rfam says of the family: Transfer RNA (tRNA) molecules are approximately 80 nucleotides in length. Their secondary structure includes four short double-helical elements and three loops (D, anti-codon, and T loops). Lineage: Eukaryota; Metazoa; Chordata; Mammalia; Didelphimorphia; Didelphidae. The record is from Rfam by way of RNAcentral.
GGUUCCAUAGCAUAAUGGUUUUCAUGUUUGCUUUAUAUGCAGAAGGUCCUGGGUUUGAGCCCCAGUGGAACCA